Lotus japonicus is the source of this 2489-nucleotide long non-coding RNA. RefSeq lists it as uncharacterized. The record is from RefSeq and is a predicted model, not a curated record. The transcript has 3 exons. Lineage: Eukaryota; Viridiplantae; Streptophyta; Magnoliopsida; Fabales; Fabaceae.
AUCUCGUUCACAAUCUCGCUUUUCAUUUCGUUCUCGUUCACGAUCCCGAUUUCUCUUCUAGGGUUCCUGCUUCCCUGCGCCGUUCAACUUCUCGUCCUCCACCGCCGCCACCGCCACCGCCACUGCUUCAUCGCGUGCCUCUUCCAGCCGCCAUCGCUCGCACCUCUUCCUCUGUUCUUGUUCGUGACUGUGUCCUUGGAGAGCAAAGCUAAUCCAUAACGUCCACGGCGGCGCGGUUACCUCUUCCACGGCGGCGCAAGGCUGCGACUCUGCUUCCAUAUCGACAAUUGACUCACGCUCAUUGCCUCACUCUGUUGCAUUUCCAUUUAGGCUUGUUCGACGAGUAUUGAUUCAUUUUAUCAUUGAUUAGGGUUUAACGUUGUGAUUUGAUGCUACAAUUGUAAUUUCAGAAACUAUUCUCUCUUGAAGUUCUCUGGUUUGUGGAUUUCCUCUUUGAAGCUCUUCGUUCAUACUCUUCCAUCUCAAGGAAAUUUAGCCAAGCUCUACAUGUAAAUUCAAUGCUUCAAAGGCUUUAAUGUUGCAGUAAUGCAAAGAUUGGGGUUUCAAUUGAAGCCUAAUGUCAGGUUUUUCUUCUCUUUUUCAGCAUUGAUGUUUCUUUGGCAAUACUAGUCACUCUUAUCUCAUUCCUGAAAGCUCAGUGAUACUUUGUGUUUUCCUUUUAUGUACUUAUCUUGUAGAGUGCACUUUUCCAGCUCUAAAGGUAAUCUGACUAUUGAAUUCUGCACAAAUAUCAACAAUGAUACAGUUGAAGAAUAGAGCAUUUACUAUAUCAACAAUUUUGCUUUUGCGGUGGCUUGAUGAGUACUUAUCUUGUAGAUGUUUUCUGGUGUUUCCAUUAGAUGCUUUCCUGCCUUUUAUUUGUUUAUCAGCAGCUACAGGAUGACAUUAGUUUACUAAAACACUUGACUCAUAAUCAGCUAUACUGCAUCAUGUUGUCCUUGUUCAUCCUCCUCACUUGACUUAAAUUAGUUACUAUAGUAUAUCAGUUUUUUGGUUACUUCAUCUGUAUUCCUUUCAUUCCCGUCCAGGUACCUUUUGAAGAAGUUCAUGCCAGAGUCAGCUCAAGGUAAUUUCUUUCAUCUUAGCUGAAUUGCAGUGCAGUUUCUUUUAUAGUACUUUUGAUUUGCAGUGGCUUGCAAAUUAGAUAGGCACUUCAGCUACAAUUGUAGUAUACAACUUAUUUGAAAUUCUUGGCUUGUUUGGCAUUUAAGUUUUCAAUGGAUUAACAAUGGUAGAAGAUAAUCUUAGAGUGUUUUUACCUACCUGACACUCAUAUUUAAUAUAAUUUUGCAGAUUGGGUACCAGUUUUGUUAAAUUCACUGAUUUUGCGGGUAUCUAAUAUCUAUCUUCGCUUUCAAUUUCAUUCCCUAAAAUAGUUGUUGUCUUUUUUAUCAGUUAUGGUAUGUUGUCCACUCCUAUCUGUUUCAACUUAAAUGUUUAGGCCAUCCAGUGCUAGCUCAACUGAACAGCCUACAUGUCCUAUCUGCCUCGGUACAUACCCCUUACUACUAUUCAUGUAUUUUUUAUUUCUAGUUUAUAGAUACUUGAGGUAGUUCAUAGAUACUUGAGGUGCAUUUAGAUAAACAACUCAAUCAAACACUUAUGCCAAUAAGUACAUAUUUUAUUAGUGGUUAUUCGUAAGAUUAUUUGAGAAAAUAAGCUUAAAAAAAACAUAUAUGCAGAGCUUAUUCUUAAGUUAAUAUAAGAUGCUUAAUAUAUAGGUACUAGGUAGGUUAUGAUCCAUCUUUGUUAUUAUUUAUUUUGUAGUUGCAGAGUGCACUAGUUGGUUCAUACAAAGGUAGAUGCCAUUGUUUAAUACACCCGACACCAUUUUAGGUUUUUUUCUUUACAACUGUGUUUAUCCAUCUAUAAUCCAUUAUGAUGAUUGUGGGAUCACUGAUUAUCAUAUUUUUUUAUAUUGUGUUCAGAAAAUAAAUUGCACUAGAAAAAUCUGAUCAAUCUGCAAGACAAAAAGUUACUGGUUUUCGGGUAAUAUCAUGAUUCACAGCAGUGCUAUAUUUGAUAUGCUCUAUCAGGGAAUAUCUCAUCUCUUUUUUUUAUAAGUAGUUGUUGAAAAGUUUAUCCAAACCUGUGCAUAAUGAAAGUUAUGGCAGAAACCAAUUUGAGGGAAGGAAUGACAAGCCUCUUUGCAAUGAGAGACAGUAGUGCAGAGUGGUUUUUCUACAAGUACAUGAUGGGGUUUUAGAAUGAUUGAUUUUGUCCAUGAGAAUCCAAGUUAUAAUUUUGAUUCACAGCCUUGCUGACAGCUUUGUUAUUUGGUGCGCCAAUUGGAUUGGAGUUGUUGGAGCUGCUGGGCUUUACUUGGUGUCAUUAGAAAGAAUAGACAUUUAGACACAUUUUGAUAUGUAACUCAUUUACUAUUAUUACUAUGCCCCAUUUUGAUAUGUACCCUAUUUUUCCACACUUGUUUGCUUCUGUGUCAAUUUUAAAAAAUUCUCUAUUGAAUA